This is a long non-coding RNA of Hyla sarda, 1002 nucleotides long. RefSeq lists it as uncharacterized. NCBI's taxonomy places the organism in Eukaryota, Metazoa, Chordata, Amphibia, Anura, Hylidae. The record is from RefSeq and is a predicted model, not a curated record. The transcript is spliced from 3 exons.
CAGUGUCUCAAUAAAACAUAAACAGUAAAAUUGUAAUGUCUGUGCGUUAUUUAGUUACAUAGUUUCUCUCUCAUUGUGACUUAGAGGACAAUUAGACCACAUUCAAUUCAUCUAAUCAAGACAGAAUUCCAGAUUUCUGUUGGCGGCAUGGAGAACAUUAUAGAACAGUACUGAGCAAUGUAAGCUGUGAAUACAGCACUGAGAAAUCUCGAGUCCUAAGUGCAAAAUGACUGAGAUGAAGCAGAAAAUGACACCGAUAACAAGGCGCCGAGCGGUUUGUGGCUUCGCAGCUGAUGGUUUCCCCGAACGCGGACGGAAUAAAAAACUAGAGCGCCACAAUUUCUUUCUGUUAUUUGGCCUCUUAGUCCGGGCUAAGAUAUUGUGAUUUCCUGACCUCCCGCAAACACGAGGCCCAGACCGCGGCCGCCAGAUGAGCCCAGAUCUGGCAAUUUGUCACUUUCAAUUUCUCCAGUCAGAAGACGAUCCGCAGAGUAUACGGUCUGAGACGACGCGCAGAGAUUUGUCCUCUUCUAUUUUCAGGAGUCAGGAAAUGGGUUCCUGCAUGUGACAAGCUGUGAAAUAUAGAAGAGUCUACGGAGAGAUGACCUGAAAACACCAGCGCAGAGCACGACCGCCGCCGCCACAGAGGCUCCGUAACAGCCCAGAUACCGGGAUAUUGGAUCUGUAAGGUCACGUAAUACAUUUAUACAUCAGAGAGAAAAUCAGGAGCCUCAGAAGACGGGAUAUAAACCUGGAGACAUCACCGAUGGAUUAUAUAUAGAAUGAAUCAGAGUGUAUAUACAUGAUCAUAAAAUACAUUCAACCCCACAGCUGUACUCACUAUUCUGCUGGUGAGAUCACUGUGUACAUACAUUACUGAUCCUGUACUGAUCCUGAGUUAUAUCCUGUAUUAUACUCCAGAGCUGUACUCACUAUUCUGCUGGUGAGGUCACUGUGUACAUACAUUACAUUACUUAUCCUGUACUGAUCCUGAGUUAUAUC